Molecule: ribosomal RNA, 301 nt
Filed under: uncultured bacterium
Lineage: Bacteria
Description: partial 16S ribosomal RNA
Rfam family: Bacterial small subunit ribosomal RNA
Source: RNAcentral
CAGCAGCCGCGGUAAUACGUAGGGCGCAAGCGUUAUCCGGAAUUAUUGGGCGUAAAGAGCUCGUAGGCGGUUUGUCGCGUCUGCCGUGAAAGUCCGGGGCUCAACCCCGGAUCUGCGGUGGGUACGGGCAGACUAGAGUGAUGUAGGGGAGACUGGAAUUCCUGGUGUAGCGGUGAAAUGCGCAGUUAUCAGGAGGAACGCCGAUGGCGAAGGCAGGUCUCUGGGCAUUAACUGACGCUGAGGAGCGAAAGCAUGGGGAGCGAACAGGAUUAGAUACCCCUGUAGUCCCUGUCUCUUAUAC